UUCGGUUUGGAGCAACACCCCGAAAGGGGUGCUAAUACCGGAUGAAGUCCCCCGGGCGAAGGCCUGAGGGAUGGAAGGCGGCCUCUGCUUGCAAGCUGUCGCCGAAGGAUGAGCCCGCGGCCUAUUAGCUAGUUGGUAGGGUAAUGGCCUACCAAGGCUGCGAUAGGUAGGCGGCCUGAGAGGGUGGCCGCCCUCACUGGGACUGAGAUAAGGCCCAGUCCCCUACGGGAGGCGCAGCCAAGAAUAUUGCGCAAUGGGCGAAAGCCUGACGCAGCGACGCCGCGUGGGUGAUGAAGGCUUGCGAGUUGUAAAACCCUGUUGGGUGGGAGGAAACACGUUACAGCUAAUAUCUGUGACGAAUGACAGUACCACCCCAGAAAGCCCCGGCUAACUCCGUGCCAGCAGCCGCGGUAAUACGGAGGGGGCUAGCGUUGUUCGGAUUUACUGGGCUUAAAGGGCAUGUAGGCGGUCCCAUAAGUCGGGUGUGAAAUACCACGGCUCAACCGUGGCACUGCGCUCGAAACUGCAGGACUUGAGUUCGGGAGAGGAGAGUGGAAUGGCCGGUGUAGGGGUGAAAUCCGUAGAUAUCGGCCGGAACACCAGUGGCGAAGGCGACUCUCUGGCCCAGAACUGACGCUCAGGUGCGAAAGCCAGGGUAGCGAACGGGAUUAGAGACCCCGGUAGUCCUGGCCCUAAACGUUGGGUACUAGGUGCAGGAGUUAGUCAACGACUUUUGUGCCGAAGUUAACGCGUUAAGUACCCCGCCUGGGGACUACGGUCGCAAGGCUGAAACUCAAAGGAAUUGACGGGGGCCCGCACAAGCGGUGGAGCAUGUGGUUCAAUUCGAUCAACGCGAAAAACCUUACCAGGGCUUGACAGCCAUCUGAUCGCGUAGCGAAAGUUACGUUUCUCUUCCCGAGACAGGUGGAACAGGUGGUGCAUGGCUGUCGUCAGCUCGUGUCGUGAGAUGUUGGGUUAAGUCCCCCAACGAGCGCAACCCCUAUGUUUAGUUGCCAGCGGGUUAAGCCGGGAACUCUAGACAGACCGCCGGUGACAAACCGGAGGAAGGUGGGGAUGACGUCAAGUCAUCAUGCCCCUUACGCCCUGGGCUACACACGUGCUACAAUGGUCGGUACAAUACGAUGCAAUAUCGCGAGAUGGAGCUAAUCGCCAAAGCCGGCCUCAGUUAGGAUUGCAGGCUGCAACUCGCCUGCAUGAAUUCGGAAUCGCUAGUAAUCGCGGAUCAGCAUGCCGCGGUGAAUACGUUCUCGGGCCUUGUACACACCGCCCGUCACGUCAUGCGAGUCAGGUGUACUCGAAGUCACUGACCCAACUCUUCACGGAGAGGGAGGUGCCCAAAGUAUGUCUGGCGAGUGGGACGAAGUCGUAACAAGGUA
This 1397-nucleotide ribosomal RNA is filed under the name metagenome. RNAcentral's name for it is "bacterial SSU rRNA". It matches the Rfam family "Bacterial small subunit ribosomal RNA", at positions 132 to 1498 of the family's 1533-position model. The record is from RNAcentral.